RNAcentral lists this ribosomal RNA (495 nucleotides) under uncultured bacterium. Its description in RNAcentral is "partial 16S ribosomal RNA". It matches the Rfam family "Bacterial small subunit ribosomal RNA", at positions 28 to 507 of the family's 1533-position model. The record is from RNAcentral.
GACGAACGCUGGCGGCGUGCCUAAUACAUGCAAGUAGAACGCUGAAGGAGGAGCUUGCUUCUCUGGAUGAGUUGCGAACGGGUGAGUAACGCGUAGGUAACCUGCCUGGUAGCGGGGGAUAACUAUUGGAAACGAUAGCUAAUACCGCAUAAUAGCAGUUAUUGCAUGAUAACUGUUUGAAAGGUGCAAUUGCACCACUACCAGAUGGACCUGCGUUGUAUUAGCUAGUUGGUGGGGUAACGGCUCACCAAGGCGACGAUACAUAGCCGACCUGAGAGGGUGAUCGGCCACACUGGGACUGAGACACGGCCCAGACUCCUACGGGAGGCAGCAGUAGGGAAUCUUCGGCAAUGGACGGAAGUCUGACCGAGCAACGCCGCGUGAGUGAAGAAGGUUUUCGGAUCGUAAAGCUCUGUUGUAAGAGAAGAACGAGUGUGAGAGUGGAAAGUUCACACUGUGGCGGUAUCUUACCAGAAAGGGACGGCUAACUACGUG